GACGAACGCUGGCGGCGUGCUUAACACAUGCAAGUCGAACGGUGAAGCGCUUGCCUUUUUGGUGGGUGUGGAUGAGUGGCGAACGGGUGAGUAACACGUGAGUAACCUGCCCUCUUCUUCUGGAUAACCUCAUGAAAGUGGGGCUAAUACGGGGUAUUCCGGGUCUGUCGCAUGGCGGGUUUGGGAAAGAUUGCGCCUUUGGGUGUUUUCGGUGGGGGAUGGGCUCGCGGCCUAUCAGCUUGUUGGUGGGGUGAUGGCCUACCAAGGCGGUGACGGGUAGCCGGCCUGAGAGGGUGGACGGCCACACUGGGACUGAGACACGGCCCAGACUCCUGCGGGAGGCAGCAGUGGGGAAUAUUGCACAAUGGGCGCAAGCCUGAGGCAGCGACGCCGCGUGAGGGAUGGAGGCCUUCGGGUUGUGAACCUCUUUCGCCAGUGAAGCAGGCCUGCUCCUGUGUGGGUGGGUUGACGGUAGCUGGAUAAGAAGCGCCGGCUAACUACGUG
RNAcentral lists this ribosomal RNA (504 nucleotides) under uncultured bacterium. RNAcentral's name for it is "partial 16S ribosomal RNA". It matches the Rfam family "Bacterial small subunit ribosomal RNA", at positions 28 to 507 of the family's 1533-position model. The record is from RNAcentral.